UACGAAGGGGGCUAGCGUUGCUCGGAAUUACUGGGCGUAAAGGGCGCGUAGGCGGAUAGUUUAGUCAGAGGUAAAAGCCCAGGGCUCAACCCCGGAACCGCCGUUGAUACUGGGGGGCUUGAGUAUGGACGAGGUUGGCGGAAUUGAGGGUGUAGCGGUGAAAUGCUUAGAUACCCUCAAGAACACCGAUUGCGUAGGCAGCUAACUAGGCCAUAACUGACGCUGAGGCACGAAAGCGUGGGGAGCGAACAGG
Molecule: ribosomal RNA, 253 nt
Filed under: uncultured bacterium
Lineage: Bacteria
Description: partial 16S ribosomal RNA
Rfam family: Bacterial small subunit ribosomal RNA
Source: RNAcentral